This 774-nucleotide ribosomal RNA is filed under the name uncultured fungus. Its description in RNAcentral is "eukaryotic LSU rRNA". It matches the Rfam family "Eukaryotic large subunit ribosomal RNA", at positions 30 to 821 of the family's 3401-position model. Lineage: Eukaryota; Fungi. The record is from RNAcentral.
GAACUUAAGCAUAUCAAUAAGCGGAGGAAAAGAAACCAACAGGGAUUGCCUCAGUAACGGCGAGUGAAGCGGCAACAGCUCAAAUUUGAAAUCUGGCUCUUUUAGGGUCCGAGUUGUAAUUUGUAGAAGAUGCUUCGGGUGUGGCUCCGGUCUAAGUUCCUUGGAACAGGACGUCAUAGAGGGUGAGAAUCCCGUAUGUGACUGGUUGCCUUCGCCCAUGUGAAGCUCUUUCAACGAGUCGAGUUGUUUGGGAAUGCAGCUCAAAAUGGGUGGUAAAUUUCAUCUAAAGCUAAAUAUUGGCCAGAGACCGAUAGCGCACAAGUAGAGUGAUCGAAAGAUGAAAAGCACUUUGGAAAGAGAGUUAAACAGUACGUGAAAUUGUUGAAAGGGAAGCGCUUGCAACCAGACUUGCAUGCGGUCGAUCAUCCGGUGUUCUCACCGGUGCACUCGAUCGUAUUCAGGCCAGCAUCGGUUUCGGUGGUUGGAUAAAGGCCUUGGGAAUGUAGCUUCUUUCGGGGAGUGUUAUAGCCCAAGGUGCAAUGCAGCCUACCGGGACCGAGGACCGCGCUUCGGCUAGGAUGCUGGCGUAAUGGUUGUAAGCGACCCGUCUUGAAACACGGACCAAGGAGUCUAACAUCUAUGCGAGUGUUUGGGUGUCAAACCCAUACGCGUAAUGAAAGUGAACGGAGGUGAGAACCCUUAAGGGUGCAUCAUCGACCGAUCCUGAUGUCUUCGGAUGGAUUUGAGUAAGAGCAUAGCUGUUGGGACCCGAAA